This 460-nucleotide ribosomal RNA is filed under the name uncultured bacterium. RNAcentral describes it as "partial 16S ribosomal RNA". It matches the Rfam family "Bacterial small subunit ribosomal RNA", at positions 338 to 795 of the family's 1533-position model. The record is from RNAcentral.
CCUACGGGUGGCAGCAGUGAGGAAUAUUGGUCAAUGGGCGCGAGCCUGAACCAGCCACGUCGCGUGAGGGAUGACGGUCCUACGGAUUGUAAACCUCUUUUGCCGGGGAGCAAACGUGCGUUCGUGAACGCGCGUCGAGAGUACCCGGAGAAAAAGCAUCGGCAAACUCCGUGCCAGCAGCCGCGUUAAUACGGGGGAGGGGAGGUUUAUCGGGUUUUAUGGGGUUAAAGGGGUGCGUAGGGGGGAUGAAAAGUCAGCGGGAAAAAUGCGGUGCUAAGCGCCGUCGAGCCGUUGAAACUGGCGUGCUUGAGUGGGGGAGAAGUAGGCGGAAUGCGUGGUGUAGCGGUGAAAUGCAUAGAUAUCACGCAGAACUCCGAUUGCGAAGGCAGCUUACUGGAGCGCUACUGACGCUGAGGCACGAAAGCGUGGGUAUCGAACAGGAUUAGAUACCCGAGUAGUC